RNAcentral lists this transfer RNA (69 nucleotides) under Marmota monax (woodchuck). RNAcentral describes it as "tRNA.Val". The record is from RNAcentral. Lineage: Eukaryota; Metazoa; Chordata; Mammalia; Rodentia; Sciuridae.
ACGAAUGGUUCACUGGUAGAAUGCUUGCCUAACAUCCAUAUGAUCCUGGGUUCAAUCCCCAGUAUUGGG